Molecule: ribosomal RNA, 422 nt
Filed under: uncultured bacterium
Lineage: Bacteria
Description: bacterial SSU rRNA
Rfam family: Bacterial small subunit ribosomal RNA
Source: RNAcentral
ACGCUCGACAGUGUCAGCCGCCGCGGUCAUACGUAGGGUGCAAGCGUUAAUCGGAAUUACUGGGCGUAAAGCGUGCGCAGGCGGUUUUGUAAGUCUGUCGUGAAAGCCCCGGGCUCAACCUGGGAAUUGCGAUGGAGACUGCAAGGCUUGAAUCUGGCAGAGGGGGGUAGAAUUCCACGUGUAGCAGUGAAAUGCGUAGAGAUGUGGAGGAACACCGAUGGCGAAGGCAGCCCCCUGGGUCAAGAUUGACGCUCAUGCACGAAAGCGUGGGGAGCAAACAGGAUUAGAUACCCUGGUAGUCCACGCCCUAAACGAUGUCUACUAGUUGUCGGGUUUUAAUUAACUUGGUAACGCAGCUAACGCGUGAAGUAGACCGCCUGGGGAGUACGGUCGCAAGAUUAAAACUCAAAUGAAUUGACGGG